UACGGGGGGGGCAAGCGUUGUUCGGAAUUACUGGGCGUAAAGGGCUCGUAGGCGGCCAACUAAGUCAGACGUGAAAUCCCUCGGCUUAACCGGGGAACUGCGUCUGAUACUGGAUGGCUUGAGACUGGGAGAGGGAUGCGGAAUUCCAGGUGUAGCGGUGAAAUGCGUAGAUAUCUGGAGGAACACCGGUGGCGAAGGCGACAUCCUGGACCAACACUGACGCUGAGGAGCGAAAGCCAGGGGAGCAAACGGG
Molecule: ribosomal RNA, 253 nt
Filed under: uncultured bacterium
Lineage: Bacteria
Description: partial 16S ribosomal RNA
Rfam family: Bacterial small subunit ribosomal RNA
Source: RNAcentral